This 253-nucleotide ribosomal RNA is filed under the name uncultured bacterium. RNAcentral's name for it is "partial 16S ribosomal RNA". It matches the Rfam family "Bacterial small subunit ribosomal RNA", at positions 524 to 776 of the family's 1533-position model. The record is from RNAcentral.
UACGUAGGGUGCGAGCGUUGUCCGGAAUUACUGGGCGUAAAGAGCUCGUAGGUGGUUUGUCGCGUUGUUCGUGAAAACUCACAGCUCAACUGUGGGCGUGCGGGCGAUACGGGCAGACUGGAGUACUGCAGGGGAGACUGGAAUUCCUGGUGUAGCGGUGAAAUGCGCAGAUAUCAGGAGGAACACCGGUGGCGAAGGCGGCUCACUGGCCCGAUACUGACGCUGAGGCACGAAAGCGUGGGGAGCAAACAGG